AGCUCCCUCCUGCUUCCCGGCCGCUGUGCUGAGUUGGACUCCCCUUUGCUUUUCCUAGAUCUCCUUGGGGCCUUCUCACAACGCCCGGCAGCAGGCAGGAAGCAGCAGGCCGUUGGGCAGGGCUGCGCCUGUAACUCGCCUGGCAGCCGUGCGGCUGGGACAGCGUGCUGAGCGUCCACCGUCCCUCUCAGGGUUUGGAUCUACAAAAAGGUAAAGUCUUUUCUGUGGUUAUUUGUAAAUGCUUCCUACAGAUUCAGUUAAAUGGCUUUGUGUUCUGAAAUUGCUCCCAAGACAUUGAUCUGGACUUCAUACACGUAUGUACAAAAUGACUUUGUUUUCUGUGCAAUGGUGGUAAAACAGUUAAAAAGCAAGCAAAGAAGCCAAAGCCGGUGAACUGUUUUUUAAACAGGCUGAAAGUGCCACCUACGGUCCACUCCGUAGAAAUGCCCAAAGAAUGUAGUCUGAGCCUUAUGGACUGAGAGUCACAGGAACUAGGAAUUUAAGGCUGAUUUAGUUAACGACACCCCUGGUGAGAAGACUAAUGAAGACAAAAGAAAUCAGAAAUCUGAAGAUCUUUGGGAACUCCGUGCUCAUGAUGUAAAUGGCGAGACGUGCAUGAAGGUUCUUAGCCAGGGGUCCUCACAGGAUUUUCCAGGCCCUGUUACAGGUCAACAGGGAACCAGGUAGUGAGUGUCGGGGCAAAGCCCCCAGGCUGAGGCCAGGCCGGGUCUCCCGCCAGUCUCCUUCCUUCCGUGCACCACGAGUGCAAGCGAGUGUUAUCACUUCUCCUACAGAAUGAAGGUGUGUGUUGCAGGAAAGCUGGAGUGAACUCUCUAGUGACAUAAAUUUAAAACUACAGCAAGAGGGAGAUGGAGGGAGGGAGACAGAUAAACAGAUAUGAUGUGCCCUGGCUUUAGUCUAUAGUGCAAAAUUUAUGAAAACAGAAAAUGAUAUUAAAACCGGUUAGUCUUCAGUAUUUUUAUUGGUGCCUGUAUUAAACAAUUGAUCAGUCAUCUAAAUAUCAUAGAUUCUAAAUCAUAAACUAGGAUUUUAAAACACUGUGGUUUUCUGUGUUACCAAAAUGUACUUUUGAAGCCAAUGUCCAAAUCAUCCAGUGUCUUCUUUUCCUGAGUGUUUGGUCACGUGUUGUUGUCUUUUUAACUUUUGUUUUAUAUUUGAGGUAGAGCCCUUUAGCAAAGAGUGCUGUGAUAGUUUCAAGUGAACACUAAAGGGAGCAAUUCAGCCAUACACAUCCAUGUGUCCUUUCUCCCCCAAACUCCCCUCCCAUCGAGGCCGCUACAUGACAUGGAGAUCCAUGUGCCAAACAGUGAGUCCUCGUUGAUUCUUAACCAAAUCGGACCUCUGUUGCAUCAUCAGAGACCGUAUCAGAAUGUUUCCCAGAGGUUAGAGAGGAGUUUCCUGGAAAAUACUCAGCGCACCCCCUGUUGCCAGAUGAAGGCUGUUUAUAUCUGGGUGCUAGUUUUGAGAGAGCUUGGUGAGCUGGACCAGCUCCUACAGAGAUGGAAAGAGCUUGUCACCAUCAACAUUCCCCAGUAGGUUCAGCCUCCCCCGAAUGCGCCCUGAGUCCUGACCGCUGAGCAGGCCAAGCCCGGUCCUCCCUCCGCCCCCAGCGCCUCCUCCGGCAAGAGCGCGGGCCGCAGGAGACAGAGGGACUGACCGCUCGUCCCCUCCUACCCCCCCACUCCCAGGCAUGGACGAGCCCAGCUCCCUGCUCUGGUUGAAGGAGGAAGAAGGUCCAACAGCAGCCCCAGAAGAAGCGCAGAGGGGCCCCUCCAUUCCCAGGACUUUCACAGGAAACCUCCUGACCAGACUCUCCUGUGAGUCACAGCAGGGAGGCAGAAAUGAACACAUCCCCUCUGGAGGAUGAUUGGAAUGAAGAAAUAUUUGACUUUCCUCCCCCCCUUCCCCCCAACACCUUUUUGUAUAAAUAGAAAAGAAGCCUGAAUUCUAUCUCAGGUAAGAUGGGUCCUUGGUGCAAGAGUCCCGGGUUUCUGAAUAAAGCUGCUGUCCUUGCCCCAACAACUCAUCUCUCAGUUAAUUGGCCUGUCAUGAGGUGAGCACUACAAGCUUGGACUCAGUUACAGAAGAGCUGGCACUCUUGCUCUCUCAGGAAGAGUUCUGUUUUCAUUCAUCAUGUAUUUGAGUCCCGCUCAGAGCCAGGCCCUAGCUAACUGAUCACUCACCCUUGGAGACCCAGCUCAGAUCUCACCUGGUCCACAAUGCCUUUCUCCAUCCCCUGCUCUGCCUGCACCAUUUUCUGCCUCACUAAGGACCACUCAAGUCUUUAACUACACUUCAAUGAGCUCUCCAGCUUGUAAGCCCUGUGACGACCUCGAAGAUGCAGAAUGGGGCUCAGAAAAUGUGACGAUGAUGAAUGACCAAAUCAAUGAGCUGGUUAAACACAAACCAGGCUUAGGUCACAUUCACCAAAGGUGUCAUCUUCUUCUCCCUCCUUCCAGGGCCAGAGUUUCAGGGGAACCUUUACACAGAGCCCAAGAAUCUUCUCUGACACGAACCUCAUCUAAAACAUUACCUGUCUGAAUAGAUUUUAUUUUCAGUUUUAUUUCUUUUUACACUUGAUGUCACUUCAUGACUAUUCCACUGAAUAUUGAGUAACUGAAUGAUCACUUCCAUUUUGUCUGGGCCAAGCAAGCCCAAUACAGGUUAUGAUAUUGAGGAGGAGAAGGUCAGGGGAGUGGGGGGUGGGAAACCAAUGGAAGCAGGCAGGUCCCAUCCCCGUUCCCACAGCCCCACCACACCCACUUGGUCCUUAACCAAUCUGACUAUGUUUACGAGGGAUCAGUUUGUCUCCUCGCUAGAUGGUCCAUCCUUUAGAGACAGCUGUAGAGGUCACAAGACAAACCUAAGUUCUAAGAGCCCUGUGUGAUCCAGGAGCAGUCGCUUGUGCCUUCAGAGGGUCAGUUUCUGACCCACAGUGAUGCUCUCCCAGAGUCGAGGGUGAGUUGUGGCCAGCCCUGCUCACCAUGAGACGCUGCAGCUCUUGCUCUGCCCUGAAACCCCUCCCUGCAGCCUGGCUGUAUUUGAGGGGACGCCUGGAAAAAGCAAGGCUUGAGCGAGUAACAGAAAGUGGGUGCUUCAGGAGCAGAAGAGAUACAGAGAAACUUGGUCUCACUGCGGCCACGUCCAACUGGUCCCAGCCUAACGCCGCUUGUCAUUCACCCUGAGUGGACAUGAUCUCCUGGGAGCUCAGAGGACUCUCCUGAGAGCUGGGGAUGUGGAGCUCUGGAGGGUGUGGCUGGCAUAGCCCCCCACAUGAGGCUGGGGCUCUGGGGCUCUGCAACUGGCCGGGGACUGAAGCUGGCCUGGCAGGUUUGCAGUGUAGACUGUCGGGUGUCUGGCUGAAGCUGCUGGCGUCCACGGUCACACUUCCCCCACCCGUCUGACCGGUUCUGGCCCCAGCAGUUAAGAACGGCUGGUCU
Molecule: long non-coding RNA, 3461 nt
Organism: Dama dama (fallow deer)
Lineage: Eukaryota; Metazoa; Chordata; Mammalia; Artiodactyla; Cervidae
Exons: 4
Source: RefSeq, a predicted model, not a curated record